CCUACGGGAGGCUGCAGUGAGGAAUAUUGGUCAAUGGACGAGAGUCUGAACCAGCCAAGUAGCGUGAAGGAUGACUGCCCUAUGGGUUGUAAACUUCUUUUAUAUGGGAAUAAAACGUUCCACGUGUGGGAUUUUGUAUGUACCAUAUGAAUAAGGAUCGGCUAACUCCGUGCCAGCAGCCGCGGUAAUACGGAGGAUCCGAGCGUUAUCCGGAUUUAUUGGGUUUAAAGGGAGCGUAGAUGGAUUGUUAAGUCAGUUGUGAAAGUUUGCGGCUCAACCGUAAAAUUGCAGUUGAAACUGGCAGUCUUGAGUACAGUAGAGGUGGGCGGAAUUCGUGGUGUAGCGGUGAAAUGCUUAGAUAUCACGAAGAACUCCGAUUGCGAAGGCAGUUCACUGGACUGCAACUGACACUGAGGCUCGAAAGUGUGGGUAUCAAACAGGAUUAGAUACCCUGGUAGUC
This 460-nucleotide ribosomal RNA is filed under the name uncultured bacterium. RNAcentral's name for it is "partial 16S ribosomal RNA". It matches the Rfam family "Bacterial small subunit ribosomal RNA", at positions 338 to 795 of the family's 1533-position model. The record is from RNAcentral.